This 468-nucleotide ribosomal RNA is filed under the name uncultured bacterium. RNAcentral describes it as "partial 16S ribosomal RNA". It matches the Rfam family "Bacterial small subunit ribosomal RNA", at positions 28 to 507 of the family's 1533-position model. The record is from RNAcentral.
GACGAACGCUGGCGGCGUGCUUAACACAUGCAAGUCGAACGGAAAGGCCCUGCUUUUGUGGGGUGCUCGAGUGGCGAACGGGUGAGUAACACGUGAGUAACCUGCCCUUGACUUUGGGAUAACUUCAGGCAACUGGGGCUAAUACCGGAUAGGAGCUCCUGCUGCAUGGUGGGGGUUGGAAAGUUUCGGCGGUUGGGGAUGGACUCGCGGCUUAUCAGCUUGUUGGUGGGGUAGUGGCUUACCAAGGCUUUGACGGGUAGCCGGCCUGAGAGGGUGACCGGCCACAUUGGGACUGAGAUACGGCCCAGACGCCUACGGGAGGCAGCAGUGGGGAAUAUUGCACAAUGGGCGGAAGCCUGAUGCAGCAACGCCGCGUGCGGGAUGACGGCCUUCGGGUUGUAAACCGCUUUCGCCUGUGACGAAGCGUGAGUGACGGUAAUGGGUAAAGAAGCACCGGCUAACUACGUG